RNAcentral lists this long non-coding RNA (699 nucleotides) under Mustela putorius furo (domestic ferret). RNAcentral's name for it is "lncRNA (ENSMPUG00000025100.1)". The record is from RNAcentral. Lineage: Eukaryota; Metazoa; Chordata; Mammalia; Carnivora; Mustelidae.
GUCCCAUCUGUCACCUUCAUGGCCGCCACCAGGAUCCCCGCCACCUCCGGACACCUGCAUGAGCCACCCUGCAAGGGCUGAGGGACCGAGCCGCACCCCAGAGCUGCGGCUCGCGGCUUCCAAUUAUUCCAGGGGCGCAAUCGCUGGGGCAGCCUCGUGGUUCCAUUUCCUUUGCCGAUUUCAGGGUAGCUUUGAAGCAAACGGAGGGACGCGAUGGGGCUCCAAGGGGGUCCGUCUUUGGUCUCAACCCCUGGCAGUGACCUUGGCAAGGGGGGAAUGCCUUUGUGCGCAGGGACAAAGUUAUCCAAGACCUGGAGGACAGCAGACGGCAGAAGCUGCUUGGCGGCGGGCUGGUGGGAUAACAUGAGGUUUCCAGUCUCGGAUGAGGUAUGUGCCCUGAAGCUCACCAGCUGGGUUAUGAGGAUGAGCCGUGUCUGGAAGAGACUGACAGUGGCAGGCAAGACAGGCCCGCAAGGCAGCCCACCGUCAGGCGGGAGCCCCUGGAGCAGAAUCCUUGAGCUCCAAGGCAGAGAUGACCAAGGAUCCCUGGUUCUGGAGCGGGACCGGGCUUGCCGCGCCCUCCGGUGCCACGCGGGCUCGGUGCCCGUGGGGUCCUCGCGGGAAGCUGAAACCCAACCAGGGCUCCGCUCUCCAAGCCCCAGUCCCUGUCCCGGGGUCACAUCCUUUCCUCCUAAGUGA